RNAcentral lists this ribosomal RNA (253 nucleotides) under uncultured bacterium. RNAcentral describes it as "partial 16S ribosomal RNA". It matches the Rfam family "Bacterial small subunit ribosomal RNA", at positions 524 to 776 of the family's 1533-position model. The record is from RNAcentral.
UACGUAGGGUGCGAGCGUUGUCCGGAAUUAUUGGGCGUAAAGAGCUCGUAGGCGGUUUGUCGCGUCGGCCGUGAAAUCUCCACGCUUAACGUGGAGCGUGCGGUCGAUACGGGCAGACUUGAGUUCGGUAGGGGAGACUGGAAUUCCUGGUGUAGCGGUGAAAUGCGCAGAUAUCAGGAGGAACACCGGUGGCGAAGGCGGGUCUCUGGGCAGUAACUGACGCUGAGGAGCGAAAGCAUGGGGAGCGAACAGG